AAAUGCGCAGAUAUCAGGAGGAACACCAAUGGCGAAGGCAGGUCCUGGGCAGUAACUGACGCUGAGGAGCGAAAAGCAUGGGUAGCGAACAGGAUUAGAUACCCGGUAGUCCAUGCCGUAAACGGUGGGCGAUAGGUGUAGGGGUCUUCCACGACUUCUGUGCCUAGGUAACGCAUUAAGCGCCCCGCCUGGGGAGUACGGCCGCAAGGCUAAAACUCAAAGGAUUGACGGGGGCCCGCACACGCGGCGGAGCAUGUGGAUUAAUUCGAUGCAACGCGAAGAACUUACCUGGGCUUGACAUACACCGGACCGGGCCAGAGAUGGUCUUUCCCUUGUGGCUGGUGACAGGUGGUGCAUGGUUGUCGUCAGCUCGUGUCGUGAGAUGUUGGGUUAAGUCCCGCAACAGCGCAACCCUUGUCUUAUGUUGCCAGCACGUGAUGGUGGGGACUCAUGAGAGACUGCCGGGUCAACUCGGAGGAAGGUGGGGAUGACGUCAAAUCAUCAUGCCCCUUAUGUCCAGGGCUCACACAUGCUACAAUGGUCGGUACAACGCGUCGCGACAUCGUAAGGUGGAGCUAAUCGCUAAAGCCGGCCUCAGUUCGGAUUGGGGUCUGCAACUCGACCCCAUGAAGUCGGAGUCGCUAUAAUCGCAGAUCAGCAACGCUGCGGUGAAUACGUUCCCGGGCCUUGCACACACCGCCCGU
This 704-nucleotide ribosomal RNA is filed under the name uncultured bacterium. RNAcentral describes it as "bacterial SSU rRNA". It matches the Rfam family "Bacterial small subunit ribosomal RNA", at positions 684 to 1397 of the family's 1533-position model. The record is from RNAcentral.